AACGAACGCUGGCGGCAUGCCUAACACAUGCAAGUCGAACGAAGCCUUCGGGCUUAGUGGCGCACGGGUGCGUAACGCGUGGGAAUCUGCCCCUUGCUUCGGAAUAACAGUUAGAAAUGACUGCUAAUACCGGAUGAAGUCUUCGGACCAAAGAUUUAUCGGCAAGGGAUGAGCCCGCGUAGGAUUAGGUAGUUGGUGGGGUAAAGGCCUACCAAGCCGACGAUCCUUAGCUGGUCUGAGAGGAUGAUCAGCCACACUGGGACUGAGACACGGCCCAGACUCCUACGGGAGGCAGCAGUGGGGAAUAUUGGACAAUGGACGCAAGUCUGAUCCAGCAAUGCCGCGUGAGUGAUGAAGGCCUUAGGGUUGUAAAGCUCUUAUACCAGGGAUGAUAAUGACAGUACCUGGAGAAUAAGCUCCGGCUAACUCCGUG
RNAcentral lists this ribosomal RNA (433 nucleotides) under uncultured bacterium. RNAcentral describes it as "partial 16S ribosomal RNA". It matches the Rfam family "Bacterial small subunit ribosomal RNA", at positions 29 to 507 of the family's 1533-position model. The record is from RNAcentral.